GAAUUGACGGGGCCGCACAAGCGGAGGAGCAUGUGGUUUAAUUCGAUGAUACGCGAGGAACCUUACCUGGGCUCGAACGUAAGAUGACUGUAGGUGAAAGCUUACAUCUCUUCGGAGCAUUUUACGAGGUGCUGCAUGGUUGUCGUCAGCUCGUGCCGUGAGGUGUCGGGUUAAGUCCCAUAACGAGCGCAACCCCUACCUUUAGUUGCCAUCAGGUUAAGCUGGGGACUCUAAAGGAACUGCCUACGCAAGUAGUGAGGAAGGCGGGGAUGACGUCAAAUCAGCACGGCCCUUACGUCCAGGGCUACACACGUGCUACAAUGGCCGAUACAGAGGGCAGCUACCUGGUGACAGGAUGCAAAUCUCCAAAGUCGGUCUCAGUUCGGAUCGGAGUCUGCAACCCGACUCCGUGAAGUUGGAUUCGCUAGUAAUCGCGCAUCAGCCAUGGCGCGGUGAAUACGUUCCCGGGCCUU
RNAcentral lists this ribosomal RNA (473 nucleotides) under uncultured Sphingobacteriales bacterium. RNAcentral describes it as "bacterial SSU rRNA". It matches the Rfam family "Bacterial small subunit ribosomal RNA", at positions 907 to 1382 of the family's 1533-position model. The record is from RNAcentral. Lineage: Bacteria; Pseudomonadati; Bacteroidota; Sphingobacteriia; Sphingobacteriales.